Molecule: ribosomal RNA, 852 nt
Filed under: uncultured bacterium
Lineage: Bacteria
Description: bacterial SSU rRNA
Rfam family: Bacterial small subunit ribosomal RNA
Source: RNAcentral
GAAUCAACGCUGGCGGCGUGCCUAAUACAUGCAAGUCGUACGCGAAGACCCCGCAAGGGGUUUGUAGCGUGGCAAACGGGUGAGUAACGCGUGGGCGACCUGCCCUCGAGUGGGGGAUAACCUUCCGAAAGGAGGGCUAAUACCGCAUGAUAUGCCGUGUUUGGAUACAUGGACAUCAAAGCCGGGGAUCGCAAGACCUGGCGCUUGAGGAGGGGCCUACGUUCGAUUAGCUAGUUGGUGAGGUAACGGCUCACCAAGGCGACGAUCGAUAUCCGGCCUGAGAGGGCGGACGGACACACUGGGACUGAGACACGGCCCAGACUCCUACGGGAGGCAGCAGUAGGGAAUUGUUCGCAAUGGGCGCAAGCCUGACGACGCAACGCCGCGUGGAGGAUGAAGACCUUCGGGUCGUAAACUCCUUUCGACCGAGAUGAACACCUGUCGACCUAAUACGUUGACAGGCUGACAGUACCGAGGGAAGAAGCCCCGGCUAACUCCGUGCCAGCAGCCGCGGUAAUACGGGGGGGGCAAGCGUUGUUCGGAAUUACUGGGCGUAAAGGGUUCGUAGGUGGCCAACUAAGUCAGACGUGAAAUCCCUCAGCUUAACUGGGGAACUGCGUCUGAUACUGGUUGGCUUGAGUGCAGGAGAGGAACGCGGAAUUCCAGGUGUAGCGGUGAAAUGCGUAGAUAUCUGGAGGGACACCGGUGGCGAAGGCGGCGUUCUGGACUGCAACUGACACUGAGGAACGAAAGCCAGGGGAGCAAACGGGAUUAGAUACCCCGGUAGUCCUGGCCCUAAACGAUGAAUGCUUGGUGUGGCGGGUAUCGAUCCCUGCCGUGCCGAAGUUAACG